CACUGCGCGACCUGUCCCCACCCCCUCGGUGCGGACCGGCUCGUGUGCCCGGGUCUGAAGGUUUUGGGGGAGCCACCAGGGAGGUAGCUGCUGGGGAGAGGGAGGCGUGUGAGUAAGACGGAGGUGAUGAAGUCACGGCCGCCGAGCCGGGACGGGGAGGAGAGCAGAGGACAGUGAGGAGCGGAGGUGCACAUGUGAAAUGAAAUGUACGGCAGCUAUUCUGCAGCCGUCCAGGCACGAAAAGCUCUAUCCCAUAAGCCUGGUAGCGGUGACGCUCGUGCAGAGCCGAGGAGGCCCGGGACCGCGCGAGCGGCGGUUUCCUUGGGCCACUAGGCCCCGCCCACGACGGCAAUGCUGGAGGCUCCGGGGGACGCUCCGCCCACCGCACGCCUUGGAGGCGGGACUCGCCCCAGCCCCGCCUAUAGAAUCCACGCCUCUCCCUUCGUCCCCGCCCACGCGAGCAAGGGGACUCGUCCCCAGAGCUGACUCUACCCACGGCGGUGUAGACUCCGCCCAGUUCCCCUGUGGUCCUCCGUGCUGAAAUUUCGCUGUUCAAGACCCACCCGCCAGGCAACCGGCUUCCCCCACGUAAGCACCGCCCGCCUUACGUCUUAGGGAUUGGUUCCACGGCGGCCGAGCCCAUCAGCUGCGUACAGUGAGACUCGACCUGCACUCCCCACCCAUCGACCCGGCCCACCAGAGAUGGAGUCAGAUCAGUGCAGGCUUUUUCCCCGCACUGAUUUCCCAUUACAUCGGAGCAGCCCUGCGCCUUUAGAUUGUUAUUCUUUUAUUACCAGUGGUCGUAAGCCUGUGAGAAAACUGCAUGAAGACCAGGGAUCACUUGAUUCUCCCACUUCUCUGGUAGCUCUUGAUGAGAGAAGAAACUUAGCCUUCUAAUUCGCUACUUACACAGUCCUUUUUUUUUGGAGUUGUCAGUGUCUGACAUCCUAUAUUGAGGGGGAGUACUUGGAAGGAAGACUGUAGGAGUGAACUGUUUCGAGUGCGGGAGACUUGAGGCGCUCACUCAUGAUAUAGGAGCUGCCAUCGUCAUAAGCUUUGAGCCUGCUAGACAAACACUGGAGCCUUCAGCUACAUCCCCAGGCCAAGGCACUGAAAACUUGAUGUAUCCUAACCCUUGUUUUUUGUUUGUUUUUGUUUUAACCCUUGAAAAUGCAGAGCAAAGCAUUUUCAGUUGUUCUCACCCAAGCUCUGUGGGAAGAAAGAGAGAGAGAGAGAGAGAGAGAGAGAGAGAGAGAUCAAAAGUGAGAGGUACUGUAGGAGGUUCUGAGACUGAGUUUUGUCUGCUGGUGUCUGAAUGUACACCUAAAUAAAACUAAUCUGCAGAUAAGCAUGACAGACUGGAACGGGCAUUUUUACAGAAUGGGUAUUUGAUGGGAGAAUCGGUAUAAACAAUGCCACCCGUUAUUGAAAUUUUAAAAUUAAGUGCUAUCAAUUUAGUAAGCAUAGUACAAAUUUAAACCAGAAAAGAGUAGAUCUGAAGUUAUUGAAUUUUGGACAUGUAACGAGAAGGAGUCUGGGCUUCAAGGAAAUAAGCCGAUGCUGCUAACAUCCUGGUAUUAUGGAGCAAUGGCCCACGGUUGCACAUCCUUGAUCCAUUUGGCAGACAUUUGCUGGACAUCCAUGGCCCAUAGAACUGCACAGAAAGUUCCUUGGUGAGCAUGGGGUCUCCCUUGUUCCCUGGGAAGCUCCUUAAACAGGAAGGAAGAAGGCUUCCACAGGCGGGAAGCUGGGAAGAGGACUACACUAGACCAACUGAGGCACCUGGAAAGGACUCCUCUCGUGUGUUGAGCUACCUGCAGGCUGUGUGGUGUGCCCCAGCGUUGUAAACUGUCACUAGUGCUGGGGUGGGGUUUGGUGGGGGGAGCUACCUUUGAGUCAUCUCUGCUCCUGUGAGUAACCCCAAUAAAACUUAUGUGAGUUCACUAA
Mastomys coucha (southern multimammate mouse) is the source of this 1947-nucleotide long non-coding RNA. RefSeq lists it as uncharacterized. Lineage: Eukaryota; Metazoa; Chordata; Mammalia; Rodentia; Muridae. The record is from RefSeq and is a predicted model, not a curated record. The transcript has 2 exons.